Molecule: ribosomal RNA, 445 nt
Filed under: uncultured bacterium
Lineage: Bacteria
Description: bacterial SSU rRNA
Rfam family: Bacterial small subunit ribosomal RNA
Source: RNAcentral
GUGAGGAAUAUUGGACAAUGGGCGCAAGCCUGAUCCAGCCAUGCCGCGUGCAGGAAGAAGCAUCUAUGGUGUGUAAACUGCUUUUGUACGGGAAGAAACACUCCUUCGUGAAGGAGCUUGACGGUACCGUAAGAAUAAGGAUCGGCUAACUCCGUGCCAGCAGCCGCGGUAAUACGGAGGAUCCAAGCGUUAUCCGGAAUCAUUGGGUUUAAAGGGUCCGUAGGCGGUUUGGUAAGUCAGUGGUGAAAGCCCGCAGCUCAACUGUGGAACGGCCAUUGAUACUGCCAGACUUGAAUUACAAGGAAGUAACUAGAAUAUGUAGUGUAGCGGUGAAAUGCUUAGAUAUUACAUGGAAUACCAAUUGCGAAGGCAGGUUACUACUUGUGGAUUGACGCUGAUGGACGAAAGCGUGGGGAGCGAACAGGAUUAGAAACCCUAGUAGUCC